UCCGCGGGUACAUACACACAAGUAACUGAAAUACAGGUAACAGAACCAGUGCUUACAGAAAUACGGGAAGCUGAAACGCGGGAAGAUGAAGUAGGUGCAGCAGAAAUCUGGUUAUAUAGCAAUUAUUAAGUGGCUGAAAUUCGGCUAAUAGGAGUAUUCUGCAGAGAAACACGUGUUAAGCAAACUGGUGAAACAAAAAAUGAUAGAUAUUCAAUAAUUCAUGUCAACGGACAUAAAAAUAGUUAAAAUAUUGCCCAAAGUUUCGUAAAAUCUCAUUCUUUUACACAAUGACUGUUCUGUCAAAGGGACGUAACUCCACGAUUCAGUAGGUAUUUCAGCCUUCCAUAACUGUGGUUUCAGGAACAGGUUGUUUACCAUGUCGUUCGUUGCAGCCAGAGGCCUGUCACUUCUUUCCAAAUCGGUGGCGCGAUCUUGCACCAGGACACUCAAAUCGUCCCCACCGAUACAGGCCUGGAAAGUUGGCAAGGUGAACCACAUCGCCAUAGCAGUGCCUGAUCUGGAGAAAGCCACCAGUCUGUACCGAGAUGUACUGGGAGCCAGAGUCAGUGACCAGCAGCCACUGCCAGACCAUGGCGUCAACACAGUGUUUGUGGAACUUGGGGAUACAAAGAUAGAGUUGCUGAACCCACUGGGAGACAAGAGCCCAAUACAGAACUUCCUUGACAAGAACAAGGCUGGAGGGAUGCACCACAUCUGUAUAGAGGUUGAUAAUAUUAAAGAAGCAAUGAAGGACUUGAAGUCAAGAAAUAUUCGCUGUUUGACAGAAGAUGCCAAAAUUGGAGCUCAUGGAAAGCUUGUCGUAUUCCUACACCCAAAAGACUGCAAUGGAGUUCUUUUGGAACUGGAGGAAGCAUAGCCAAGAAGGAGAAGGGGUUGGUGGGAGGGACCAAGAGGUACUGGUCGUGUUCCUGAGAUUAGGGAUGAGAUGGGUUGGUGGACAGGGGUUAAGAGGUGAGAGGAAAUGGGUUUUGGGAGGGUGGUCUUUUCUGGAAUGGAUGGGGAGAUGGGUUUGGUGGAUGGGGUAACUGAGAUUAGGGAUGAGCUGGGUUGCAGGGCUAAGAUAAGAGGAGAGUUUGCCUUCUUGGAAGGUGGUAAGGGGGAUUUGGGCUGGUGGAGGAGGGAGUGUGGUUUGUUGUGGGGGAUAAGAGAGGGGAAUAGUUGCGUGUGACUGUGGUAGAGCUGAAAGCAUUGAUAUUAGUAUUAGUAAGUUCUAUGGCCAAAAUGGCUUUAUGUGAGCCCUUAUAACACACUGUGAUAGGUGUACGUAUGUAACUGUCCUGCUGUUGAAAAUAUAUGUAUGUACAUGUG
RNAcentral lists this unclassified non-coding RNA (1329 nucleotides) under Haliotis rubra (blacklip abalone). RNAcentral describes it as "methylmalonyl-CoA epimerase, mitochondrial-like, transcript variant X1". Lineage: Eukaryota; Metazoa; Mollusca; Gastropoda; Lepetellida; Haliotidae. The record is from RNAcentral.